This 492-nucleotide ribosomal RNA is filed under the name uncultured bacterium. RNAcentral describes it as "partial 16S ribosomal RNA". It matches the Rfam family "Bacterial small subunit ribosomal RNA", at positions 29 to 507 of the family's 1533-position model. The record is from RNAcentral.
AGUGAACGCUGGCGGUAGGCCUAACACAUGCAAGUCGAACGGCAGCACAGUAAGAGCUUGCUCUUACGGGUGGCGAGUGGCGGACGGGUGAGGAAUACAUCGGAAUCUACUUUUUCGUGGGGGAUAACGUAGGGAAACUUACGCUAAUACCGCAUACGACCUACGGGGGAAAGCAGGGGAUCUUCUGACCUUGCGCGAUUGAAUGAGCCGAUGUCGGAUUAGCUAGUUGGCGGGGUAAAGGCGCACCAAGGCGACGAUCCGUAGCUGGUCUGAGAGGAUGAUCAGCCACCCUGGAACUGAGACACGGUCCAGACUCCUACGGGAGGCCGCAGUGGGGACUAUUGGACAAUGGGCGAAAGCCUGAUCCAGCCAUACCGCGUGGGUGAAGAAGGCCUUCGGGUUGUAAAGCCCUUUUGUUGGGAAAGAAAAGCAGCAGGUUAAUACCCCGCUGUUCUGACGGUACCCAAAGAAUAAGCACCGGCUAACUUCGUG